AUGAAGCAGGGGACUUGGCGAGCAAAGCGCUCGUCCUCCUCCCGGGACAAAAGCAGGGGAGGCCGAGGCUUCAUGGCCGGAGAACGGCAGCGCAGAAGGGAACUUGGGGCGCCGGCAGCGCCAAGAACGGCGAAGGCGGGUGGAUCCGGUGGGUCGGUGCCGGGUCCGGGCAAACGGCAGCACGGAAGGAGGAGCUCUUGGGCGGAGAUGCUGGUGUUUCCCCAUGGCGGCUCCUAUGAGGAAAAACAGCAAGAGGAAGCGAGAUGUGAGAGGAGAAGUAUGGAACCGGGAAAGAAAAGGGAAUGGAGAGGGAGAGAUGGCGCGACAGAGGGUGGAGGCGCACGGGAUGCGGCUUGGAGCAGAUCGGGCGCGAGCAAGGAAGGGGAGGCAUCUCCCAUCGAUGGUCAUGGUGGCGGUCAUCGAUUCCUGAUCCUGACGAAGAGAAGCAGAGGCAGGCUCCAAUCCAAGGCGGGGACGGUUGGCGUCGGGCAGAGGAAGGCACCCGAGGCCUUGAGCGAGGCGACGAGGAGAAAACUGCGCCGGGAGGCUCCUGUCGCUGGUGGCAGGGAAGAUUGA
This 576-nucleotide ribosomal RNA is filed under the name Triticum aestivum (bread wheat). Its description in RNAcentral is "partial small subunit ribosomal RNA". The record is from RNAcentral. Lineage: Eukaryota; Viridiplantae; Streptophyta; Magnoliopsida; Poales; Poaceae.